CCGCCCCUCAACCCGCCGAGGACUGUUCCCACAGUCCAUUGGAUCCCUGUCGCCUUACUUCAAUACCAAUCCUGGAGCGAGGUCGCCACUGGCUGGUUUCCAUUGGCUACCAUACAUCAUGGUUACCGGGGUGACCCGGGCUCUAUUUGCAUAGCCCAGCCUGAUUGGCUGGAGGCAGAGCAGGCUUCUUAGGAGGUGGGGCAAAAUCCUACUCUCCCACGGAAAGCCACGCCUACCCCAGGCCCCUCCUUCGUUCCCUCCCGAGGGGUUGGCUCUGAUGACCUGGGCAGGGACUCUGCUUCGCAGACGCAGUGUCGAUCUAAUCUUGAGCGCAAGUUUCGUUUUUGGAGAUUGUCAAGGUGACACCCUCGGGGACUCCGUUUCCUUUUACAGUCUCCUGCCGACAUAUUGUUCCCUGUUGAACACCAGAGAUCCUAACUGUGGUCUGGGCUAUAGACUCUGAUGGGGAAUCUUCAGCUAUUCUCUGCUUAAUGAAGGAGAUUUUGAACAUACACGGACUCCAAUUCAGUGCCAUUCAUGAGACCCGGGCUUUACACACGAAGCAC
Molecule: long non-coding RNA, 566 nt
Filed under: Cricetulus griseus (Chinese hamster)
Lineage: Eukaryota; Metazoa; Chordata; Mammalia; Rodentia; Cricetidae
Description: lncRNA (ENSCGRG00015042633.1)
Source: RNAcentral